GGCCGUCUAGCUCAGUUGGUUAGAGCGUCGUGCUAAUAUUGCUUGUUACAGUGAUAACGCGAAGGUCUUGGGUUCGACCCCCACGAUGGCCA
Mycena crocata is the source of this 92-nucleotide non-coding RNA. The record is from the annotation of a GenBank genome assembly. NCBI's taxonomy places the organism in Eukaryota, Fungi, Basidiomycota, Agaricomycetes, Agaricales, Mycenaceae.